RNAcentral lists this non-coding RNA (22 nucleotides) under Arabidopsis thaliana (thale cress). Lineage: Eukaryota; Viridiplantae; Streptophyta; Magnoliopsida; Brassicales; Brassicaceae. The record is from RNAcentral.
CAGAGACGAUUCUCACUUCUCU